Molecule: ribosomal RNA, 471 nt
Filed under: uncultured organism
Description: partial 16S ribosomal RNA
Rfam family: Bacterial small subunit ribosomal RNA
Source: RNAcentral
ACUCCUACGGGAGGCAGCAGUGGGGAAUUUUGGACAAUGGGCGAAAGCCUGAUCCAGCAAUGCCGCGUGUGUGAAGAAGGCCUUCGGGUUGUAAAGCACUUUUGUCCGGAAAGAAAUCCUUGGCUCUAAUACAGUCGGGGGAUGACGGUACCGGAAGAAUAAGCACCGGCUAACUACGUGCCAGCAGCCGCGGUAAUACGUAGGGUGCGAGCGUUAAUCGGAAUUACUGGGCGUAAAGCGUGCGCAGGCGGUUUGCUAAGACCGAUGUGAAAUCCCCGGGCUCAACCUGGGAACUGCAUUGGUGACUGGCAGGCGAGAGUAUGGCAGAGGGGGGUAGAAUUCCACGUGUAGCAGUGAAAUGCGUAGAGAUGUGGAGGAAUACCGAUGGCGAAGGCAGCCCCCUGGGCCAAUACUGACGCUCAUGCACGAAAGCGUGGGGAGCAAACAGGAUGAGAUACCCCUGUAGUCCCA